GGGCGUAAAGCGAGCGCAGGCGGAAAAAUAAGUCUAAUGUGAAAGCCCUCGGCUUAACCGAGGAACUGCAUCGGAAACUGUUUUUCUUGAGUGCAGAAGAGGAGAGUGGAACUCCAUGUGUAGCGGUGGAAUGCGUAGAUAUAUGGAAGAACACCAGUGGCGAAGGCGGCUCUCUGGUCUGCAACUGACGCUGAGGCUCGAAAGCAUGGGUAGCGAACAGGAUUAGAUACCCUGGUAGUCCAUGCCGUAAACGAUGAGUGCUAAGUGUUGGGAGGUUUCCGCCUCUCAGUGCUGCAGCUAACGCAUUAAGCACUCCGCCUGGGGAGUACGACCGCAAGGUUGAAACUCAAAGGAAUUGACGGGGGCCCGCACAAGCGGUGGAGCAUGUGGUUUAAUUCGAAGCAACGCGAAGAACCUUACCAGGUCUUGACAUCUAGUGCAAUCUGUAGAGAUACGGAGUUCCCUUCGGGGACGCUAAGACAGGUGGUGCAUGGCUGUCGUCAGCUCGUGUCGUGAGAUGUUGGGUUAAGUCCCGCAACGAGCGCAACCCUUGUUAUUAGUUGCCAGCAUUAAGUUGGGCACUCUAAUGAGACUGCCGGUGACAAACCGGAGGAAGGUGGGGAUGACGUCAAGUCAUCAUGCCCCUUAUGACCUGGGCUACACACGUGCUACAAUGGGCAGUACAACGAGAAGCAAGCCUGCGAAGGCAAGCGAAUCUCUGAAAGCUGUUCUCAGUUCGGACUGCAGUCUGCAACUCGACUGCACGAAGCUGGAAUCGCUAGUAAUCGUGGAUC
RNAcentral lists this ribosomal RNA (794 nucleotides) under uncultured Bacillota bacterium. RNAcentral describes it as "bacterial SSU rRNA". It matches the Rfam family "Bacterial small subunit ribosomal RNA", at positions 556 to 1350 of the family's 1533-position model. The record is from RNAcentral. Lineage: Bacteria; Bacillati; Bacillota.